Molecule: ribosomal RNA, 305 nt
Filed under: uncultured bacterium
Lineage: Bacteria
Description: bacterial SSU rRNA
Rfam family: Bacterial small subunit ribosomal RNA
Source: RNAcentral
UCCUACGGGACGCAGCAGUGGGGAAUAUUGCACAAUGGGGGAAACCCUGAUGCAGCAACGCCGCGUGAAGGAAGACGGUUUUCGGAUUGCAAACUUCUGUUCUUAGUGAAGAAGAAUGACGGUAGCUAAGGAGCAAGCCACGGCUAACUCCGUGCCAGCAGCCGCGGUAAUACGGAGGGUGCAAGCGUUACUCGGAAUCACUGGGCGUAAAGAGCGCGUAGGCGGGAUAGCAAGUCAGAUGUGAAAUCCUAUGGCUUAACCAUAGAACUGCAUUUGAAACUGUUAUUCUAGAGUAUGGGAGAGGG